GUGCUUAACACAUGCAAGUCGAGUGCGCGUCCCGGUAGCAAUACUGGGAUGGCGCACGGCGCACGGGUGCGUAACACGUGGGCAAUCUGCCCUCCUAUGGGGAAUAACCCCGCGAAAGCGGGGCUAAUACCGCAUAACAUUCCGGGGACUUCGGUUCCUGGAUUCAAAGGCGUAAGCCGUCGGAGGUGGAGCCCGCGCCCGAUUAGCUAGUUGGUGAGGUAACGGCUCACCAAGGCAAUGAUCGGUAGCUGGUCUGAGAGGAUGGCCAGCCACACUGGAACUGAGACACGGUCCAG
Molecule: ribosomal RNA, 296 nt
Filed under: uncultured bacterium
Lineage: Bacteria
Description: partial 16S ribosomal RNA
Rfam family: Bacterial small subunit ribosomal RNA
Source: RNAcentral